UCUCCAGGACGUCCCUUCACGAAAAAAAAAAGAGAUUAUUUUCCACUUUUCAAUCUGUGGUUUAAAUAAACAGAUGUUGUGUGUGUGGUGUUUUCCACCCCCCGUUUCCUCCCACACACCCUCAAUACCUUCGAUUUUGAAAAGCCCAUGAAUGAACCUGAUUAAUGACAAUGAAAUGUCUUUUAACUCCAGCGUGGUUUUAAUUACCUCUUUAUUUCCUAUUGCAACAGAGUCCAAGCAGCACCUUCCUAGAAAGAGUUCCAUUAAGAUGCAAAUGAAGGCUCUGCAGAAACUGUCUCGCAAUGCAAUGCAACGAAGGACUCCGUUUCUUACACUUAAGCAACACGGUGCCAGGGGGGUGUCCCGCUGCCUCCUGCUCCUCCUGCACAUGCAAUCCUCUGCCUUCACCUCCCCAUGCGUGUGGUUGCCGGUCCCUGUCACCUGCAGGUGAAAAGCACCGGAGCUGAACAGCCAGAAUCUCUUUUCCCACCCUCAAUGCCCAAGUGUUUCACGUGAAGCUCUUCCCCCCGGCGCCUGCAGGUGCUAAAUCCUUCUGUUGUGUAAAGGCUGCAAGUGCUCCGCCUGUCCUCAGAAGAGAGGUGGUUUCUCCUCAGAAAGAAGGAAAGAACAUGCAUGGGGUAAAAAGAACAGGAAAAAAAAGAAGAGCUGGAGGAGAAAUCAGGCUUGUUCAUGAGCUUUUUGGUGUGCAAAGUGUCAUGAACGGCGUGAACAAAGGAGAGGUCAAGAGCACAGAUGCACCUCUGUGAGAUUAAAGACUGUUUCUGGCUCAAAUCAAUGUCCUCUGCACACCACCAUGUCACAGGUUUCAUUGAGGAGGAGACCACUGGAGGUCUGGGCUUUAAUUGUGUUUGGCUAUUGGGAAAACAGGGAAAUUCCAUAAUCCUGUAGCACAGGAGUGGUUGGAAUCACCCUGUGGUGGGGUGAGGUAGAAACGGGCUGGAGACAGUAGAGGAAAGCUGCCUCCAUACCACAUCCCAUCUGAAAAUCAUCAGGAUGCCGAAGUGUUCUCAUCCCAGCUCCCCUCUUCAGCUCUGCUCCACCUUGCAUUCGUCUUGCUUGUAGGAGAUGUUAUAUCUGGUAAAAUAAAAUGAUUUCUUGUGUGUC
Long non-coding RNA from Neopsephotus bourkii (Bourke's parrot), 1125 nucleotides. RefSeq lists it as uncharacterized. The record is from RefSeq and is a predicted model, not a curated record. Lineage: Eukaryota; Metazoa; Chordata; Aves; Psittaciformes; Psittacidae. The transcript is spliced from 2 exons.